This is a long non-coding RNA of Oncorhynchus tshawytscha (Chinook salmon), 486 nucleotides long. NCBI's taxonomy places the organism in Eukaryota, Metazoa, Chordata, Actinopteri, Salmoniformes, Salmonidae. The record is from Ensembl.
GGGGACUCCACUCAGUGCCUACCACAACGUGCUAAUGUGGUUGCGUGGCGGGAUGCACAUUAAAUAGUGUGAUUGGCAAUAUACCAUAGAAGAGAAGAAGCAUGACGUCCUUACCUGUUUCCUAAAUAGUGACGAGGAUGCUCAUGGCAUUCCAGACUACAGGAGAAGAAUCUCUCCCCCCUAUUCCCUGACAGUUCAACCUCCACUGCUGAGACCCAGCUAAUAAGAUCCCUGGGCUCUCUCCAACCUGCUUUUAUCUCCAUUUAAUGCAAUGGAAUAUAUAAACACUAUAAUUGUACAUUUUGACAUUUUAGCAGAAAUACUAUCAGUAUAGUGUAUACAACCACAUAGUGUUUAGUCAGGACAAAGGUACAUUUGUACUGCUGAAUUUUAAAAAAAGAGCAUGUAUGUGUUCAGGAGAGGAAAUUGCUAUGUCGUGUUUGGGUCUACAUAAUGUUUUGUAAGGACAUAUAAAUUGUAUUAAAU